AUUGAACGCUGGCGGCAUGCCUUACACAUGCAAGUCGAGCGGCAGCGCGGGAGCAACCCUGGCGGCGAGCGGCGGACGGGUGAGUAAUACAUCGGAACGUGUCCUUUCGUGGGGAGUAACCAGUCGAAGACUGGCUAAUACCGCAUGAGAUCUCACGAUGAAAGCGGGGCCGCAAGGCCUCGCGCGAUUGGAGCGGCCGAUGUCGGAUUAGCUAGNGGGUCGGGGU
RNAcentral lists this ribosomal RNA (226 nucleotides) under uncultured bacterium. RNAcentral's name for it is "partial 16S ribosomal RNA". It matches the Rfam family "Bacterial small subunit ribosomal RNA", at positions 30 to 259 of the family's 1533-position model. The record is from RNAcentral.